Molecule: small RNA, 92 nt
Filed under: Pedobacter psychrophilus
Lineage: Bacteria; Pseudomonadati; Bacteroidota; Sphingobacteriia; Sphingobacteriales; Sphingobacteriaceae
Description: Pedobacter sp. CCM 8644 Flavo-1 RNA
Rfam family: Flavo-1 RNA
Source: Rfam by way of RNAcentral
AUUUUGCGUUAAGGAUUGAAACGGCAUCCUUUUUUUGCAACUAACCACUAUGAUUAUAGCAAAAAAAGAUACAGUGAAAAGCCUGUAAAAAC